This 405-nucleotide ribosomal RNA is filed under the name uncultured bacterium. Its description in RNAcentral is "partial 16S ribosomal RNA". It matches the Rfam family "Bacterial small subunit ribosomal RNA", at positions 30 to 526 of the family's 1533-position model. The record is from RNAcentral.
AUUGAACGCUAGCGGGAUGCUUUACACAUGCAAGUCGAACGAGUGGCGGACGGGUGAGUAAUAUAUCAGAACGUGCCCAGUAGCGGGGGAUAACUACUCGAAAGAGUGGCUAAUACCGCAUACUAUGGUAGCGGCCGAUAGUGGAUUAGCUAGUUGGGGGGGUAACGGCUCACCAAGGGAACGAUGCGUAGCUGGUUUGAGAGGACGACCGGCCACACUGGGACUGAGACACGGCCCAGACUCCUACGGGAGGCAGCAGUGGGGAAUUUUCGACAAUGGACGAAACCCUGACCCAGCAAUCCCGCGUGUAUGAGAAGGUCUUCGGGUUGUAAAGUACUUUUGUUAGAGAAGCGGUAUCUGCCGAAUAAGCCCCGGCUAACUACGUGCCAGCAGCCGCGGUAAUUC